UCCACUGACUCACUGAAAGCAGAAACGUCCAAGCAGAAAUACAGAAGAUAAAAGAGAAACCAUUAAUCCAAGCCCUACACUGGAACAGGCCGCCAAGGAGGAGGAUGAUGAGGAUGAUGAGGCGGCAUUUAGUGACGACGAGCCAGAAUACCAUUUUG
Molecule: long non-coding RNA, 158 nt
Organism: Pseudophryne corroboree (corroboree frog)
Lineage: Eukaryota; Metazoa; Chordata; Amphibia; Anura; Myobatrachidae
Exons: 3
Source: RefSeq, a predicted model, not a curated record